RNAcentral lists this ribosomal RNA (263 nucleotides) under uncultured bacterium. RNAcentral describes it as "partial 16S ribosomal RNA". It matches the Rfam family "Bacterial small subunit ribosomal RNA", at positions 90 to 354 of the family's 1533-position model. The record is from RNAcentral.
CGGCGACGCGCGACGGGUGNGUAACGCGUAUGUAACCUACCUUUGACAGGGGGAUAACAUCGAGAAAUUGGUACUAAUACCCCAUAACAUCACCGGAGGCAUCUUCGGUGGUUGAAAACUCAGGUGGUCAGAGAUGGACAUGCGUUGUAUUAGCUAGUUGGUGAGGUAACGGCUCACCAAGGCGACGAUACAUAGGGGGACUGAGAGGUCAACCCCCCACAUUGGUACUGAGACACGGACCAAACUCCUACGGGAGGCAGCAG